UCUACACCAAAAGGGCUCGCUCUUACCUUUAAACAUUAGAUCUGACUAACAGUGGGCUACCAGGGCUGCUGGUCCAUAAAAGAGGAAGUAAACAACGGUUGGCGACUUGACUUCAUCACACAGUAUGGAAAGGACUUGUGACGAGGUGUAACUCCAAAACCGUGGACUCACUCAGGUUAAUCAGGGAAGGAGAGGAUUUGGGGCCAUGAGGCAUGUGGGAUCCUAGCUCCCUGACCAGGGAUUGAACCCACACCCCCAGCACUGGAAGGCUAAGAGUCAACCACUGGACUGCCAGGCAAGAUUCUUAUCCUGAGGUCCAGAAGUGGACUUGAGCACUUCAUGAAGCCCUUGAAAUUG
Bos taurus (domestic cattle) is the source of this 357-nucleotide long non-coding RNA. NCBI's taxonomy places the organism in Eukaryota, Metazoa, Chordata, Mammalia, Artiodactyla, Bovidae. The record is from Ensembl.